UACCGGUUCUGGUUUUGAGGUGGAGGACCCCGUAAGUGGGCUUUGGAACCAAGGCCCCAGGCCCUAAGGGGGCGCAGCAGGCGCGAAACCUCUGCAAUAGGCGAGAGCUCGACAGUGGUUACUCUGAGUGAUGUCCAGCUAACGGGCAUCUUUUUGGCACUUGCGUUAAUAUAUGUGUAUGAAUGAACGGGUGUGGUGCAAGUGCUGGGUGUCUAGCGCGCACUGCGUGUAAUGAGCCUAGCAUCCCUCGAGUAGGUACGGCGACGUAUUACUUGGGUCACUAUACGCAGUCGCGUGAGUCCUGGUUUUCGUGUCAAGGUCGUGUCCUGUUAUAAUGCCAGCCGUGCGUCGAACUAGAGUGGGUCUGUCGGUAGGAGUAUCUAUCAUGGGUCUACGGAUGGUCGGUGAGAAGGUCAAGUCUGGUAUCUCCAGUAGUGGUGAUGGGUGUAAAAGUCGCUCGUGAUCUCACUCGAAGAUCCAUCCAUGUGGUCGAAUGGUCGGCAUUGUCCAGAACAGCGUCUCGAUCGGUGAGGGUAUGAAAGUCUGGGGGAGCAAACCGGAUUAGAUACCCGGGUAGUCCCAGCUGUAAACGAUGCAGACUCGGUGAUGGGUUGGCUUCGAGCCAACCCAGUGCCGCAGGGAAGCCGUUAAGUCUGCCGCCUGGGGAGUACGGUCGCAAGACUGAAAUAUCAAAGGA
This 697-nucleotide ribosomal RNA is filed under the name uncultured archaeon. RNAcentral's name for it is "partial 16S ribosomal RNA". It matches the Rfam family "Archaeal small subunit ribosomal RNA", at positions 262 to 863 of the family's 1478-position model. The record is from RNAcentral.